Molecule: ribosomal RNA, 688 nt
Filed under: Starmerella meliponinorum
Lineage: Eukaryota; Fungi; Ascomycota; Dipodascomycetes; Dipodascales; Trichomonascaceae
Description: eukaryotic LSU rRNA
Rfam family: Eukaryotic small subunit ribosomal RNA (bases 1-169)
Source: RNAcentral
UACACACCGCCCGUCGUUACUACCGAUUGAAUGGCUUAGUGAGAUCCUAGGAGAGUCUACGCAAGAGGGCAACCUCUAGCGCGGAUUCAAAUUCGAUCAAACUUGGUCAUUUAGAGGAAGUACAAGUCGUAACAAGGUUUCCGUAGGUGAACCUGCGGAAGGAUCAUUUUUGAAGGCUACACGCCGACAUUGUGAAACGCGAAAAUACAUGAAGGCUUCGGCUAGAGUGUGUUUUGGCAUUGCUUGGACGGAGUUCGCUCUGUCCAACUUCAAAACUUAUAUCAAUUUAUCUGAAAACUGAAAAUUUAAAACUUUCAACAACGGAUCUCUUGGUUCUCACAUCGAUGAAGAACGCAGCAAAGCGCGAUAGGUAAUGCGAAUUGCAGACGUGAGUCAUUGAAUCUUUGAACGCACAUUGCGCUACUAGGUUCUCCUAGUAGCAUGCUUGUUGGAGCGCCGAACUUUCUCUCUAACUCUUCUUCUGAAGAGUCGUGAGGUAUUGCUUCUGCUAGAAGUCAAAGAAAUGGAACAGCACACGUUAAUAACUCUGUGCAGUAAUAUUUUUAUGGCCCCCAAUCAAGCAAGAUUACCCGCUGAACUUAAGCAUAUCAAUAAGCGGAGGAAAAGAAACCAACAGGGAUUGCCUUAGUAACGGCGAGUGAACAGGCAAGAGCUCAGAUUUGAAAGC